GACGAACGCUGGCGGCGUGCUUAACACAUGCAAGUCGAACGAAGUGGCGAACGGGUGAGUAACGCGUAAUCAACCUGCCCUUCAGAGGGGGACAACAGUUGGAAACGACUGCUAAUACCGCAUACUGAAGGAGGGGAUUGCGUUUGAUUAGCUCGUUGGAGGGGUAACGGCCCACCAAGGCGAAGAUCAGGAGCCGGUCUGAGGAGAUGAACGGGCAAAUUGGGACUGAGACACGGCCCAGACUCCUACGGGAGGCAGGAGUGGGGAAUCUUCCGAAAUGGACGAAAGUCUGACUGAGCAACGCCGCGUGAGUGAUGACGGCCUUCGGGUUGUAAAGCUCUGUUAAGCGGGACGCGGUACCGGAAGAGAAAGCCACGGCUAACUACGUGCCAGCAGCCGCGGUAAUUC
This 408-nucleotide ribosomal RNA is filed under the name uncultured bacterium. RNAcentral's name for it is "partial 16S ribosomal RNA". It matches the Rfam family "Bacterial small subunit ribosomal RNA", at positions 28 to 526 of the family's 1533-position model. The record is from RNAcentral.